This 537-nucleotide ribosomal RNA is filed under the name uncultured bacterium. Its description in RNAcentral is "bacterial SSU rRNA". It matches the Rfam family "Bacterial small subunit ribosomal RNA", at positions 777 to 1315 of the family's 1533-position model. The record is from RNAcentral.
AAUAGAUACCCCGGUAGUCCACGCCGUAAACGUUGGAACUAGAUGUGGGGCCAUUCCACGGCUUCCGUGUCGUAGCUAACGCAUUAAGUUCCCCGCCUGGGGAGUACGGCCGCAGGGCUAAAACUCAAAGGAAUUGACGGGGGCCCGCACAAGCGGCGGAGCAUGCGGAUUAAUUCGAUGCAACGCGAAGAACCUUACCAAGGCUUGACAUAUACCUGAAAAGGCUGGAAACAGUCUCCCCGCAAGGCAGUAUACGGAGGUGGUGCAUGGUUGUCGUCAGCUCGUGUCGUGAGAUGUUGGGUUAAGUCCCGCAACGAGCGCAACCCUCGUUCUAUGUUGCCAGCACGUAAUGGUGGGAACUCAUAGGAGACUGCCGGGGUCAACUCGGAGGAAGGUGGGGAUGACGUCAAAUCAUCAUGCCCCUUAUGUCUUGGGCUUCACGCAUGCUACAAUGGCCGGUACAAAGGGCUGCAAUACCGCAAGGUGGAGCGAAUCCCAAAAAGCCGGUCUCAGUUCGGAUUGAGGUCUGCAACUCGA